GACGAACGCUGGCGGCGUGCUUAACACAUGCAAGUCGAACGAAAAGAGGGAAAGAGCUUGCUCUUUCCGGAAUUGAGUGGCAAACGGGUGAGUAACACGUAAACAACCUGCCUUCAGGAUGGGGACAACAGACGGAAACGACUGCUAAUACCGAAUAAGUUCCAAGGGUCGCAUGAUCCAUGGAAGAAAAGGUGGCCUCUACCUGUAAGCUAUCGCCUGAAGAGGGGUUUGCGUCUGAUUAGCUGGUUGGAGGGGUAACGGCCCACCAAGGCGACGAUCAGUAGCCGGUCUGAGAGGAUGAACGGCCACACUGGAACUGAGACACGGUCCAGACUCCUACGGGAGGCAGCAGUGGGGAAUCUUCCGCAAUGGGCGAAAGCCUGACGGAGCAACGCCGCGUGAGUGAUGACGGCCUUCGGGUUGUAAAACUCUGUGAUCCGGGACGAAAAGGCAGAGUGCGAAGAACAAACUGCAUUGACGGUACCGGAAAAGCAAGCC
Molecule: ribosomal RNA, 498 nt
Filed under: Dialister invisus
Lineage: Bacteria; Bacillati; Bacillota; Negativicutes; Veillonellales; Veillonellaceae
Description: bacterial SSU rRNA
Rfam family: Bacterial small subunit ribosomal RNA
Source: RNAcentral